Long non-coding RNA from Salvia miltiorrhiza (redroot sage), 693 nucleotides. RefSeq lists it as uncharacterized. Lineage: Eukaryota; Viridiplantae; Streptophyta; Magnoliopsida; Lamiales; Lamiaceae. The transcript has 2 exons. The record is from RefSeq and is a predicted model, not a curated record.
UUGCAAAUAAACAUAAAUAUCGUAGAAGCCCACGAAUAAAAACAUGUAUUUGUGUCAUAAAUGAAACGGCGCCAAACUAGCAGAUUACAAUAAUAAUGGCUGUUUCCUUCAAUUAGACUAGUACUAAUGUUGUGAACUGUAGCUGAUAACUAAGAUAAGAUGAUGUUGAUAAGUGUUGAAGGAAAUAUUUUGCUCCAAUUAAGGAGCACUAUGAGAUUUCUGCCUUCGAAAAUAUAGAUCACCUUCACCAGUCAUUGCUUUGUUUAGUCCCUCGUGAUCCUGUAUAAUGGCCUAUGAGUAUGAAUUUGGAGAUAAGAUGUUGAUGCUUAUGAGAUUUGUGCAUGAUGGGAUGAUUGAAGAAGAUACACCUGAAUCUUGCUGAUCCAAAACCUAGUACCAUGAUGCUGGACUAAGAACAUGCCCAAUCUCGUUUUCUUUCUCGUUCUAUUCGAGUGGUUCUCGUUUUACCAUUUCUUCUUGGCAAUUGAGUUUUUCAUGUAUUUGGAGCACUAGUGAUUAGUGAGACAAAAAACUGCAGCAUGGACAUGAUCAGCAGAGCUUCUGUUCACAACAGUAUGUGAUUGCUGACUUCUCUCAACAUUUAUAUGCAGCAUUCAACUGUCAUUUGAAUCAAAUGAAGGAAUAAUGAUAUUAAUAUCAUCAAUGAACUGCUGCUAAAUAUAGUUUCACUCA